Molecule: long non-coding RNA, 236 nt
Filed under: Olea europaea (common olive)
Lineage: Eukaryota; Viridiplantae; Streptophyta; Magnoliopsida; Lamiales; Oleaceae
Description: long non-coding RNA (OEUR_LNC013078)
Source: RNAcentral
AUGGUGUCAAGCAUAUGUUGAUUGAUCACUUUAAGAAGGACCAUGGAAUGAAAGUUGGAUCUACCAUGAGAUUUGCUAUUGAGGACUUGGUUUUUAAGCUUUUUGGAGAGGGACCUUCUGUGAGUAAGACUCCUACGCAUACACCUUCACCUAAUCCUUCUAUCACAGCUCCUACACACAAUAAGGUGAAAGAACAUAUACAGAGAGACAUGGAUGGCAUGGGCCUUGGAAACUGC